Molecule: ribosomal RNA, 403 nt
Filed under: bacterium
Lineage: Bacteria
Also listed under: 1 other name
Description: partial 16S ribosomal RNA
Rfam family: Bacterial small subunit ribosomal RNA
Source: RNAcentral
UGGGGAAUAUUGCACAAUGGAGGGAACUCUGAUGCAGCGACGCCGCGUGAACGAAGAAGGCUUUCGAGUCGUAAAGUUCUUUUAUAUGGGAAGAUAAUGACGGUACCAUAAGAAAAAGCCCCGGCUAACUACGUGCCAGCAGCCGCGGUAAUACGUAGGGGGCUAGCGUUGUCCGGAAUCACUGGGCGUAAAGGGUUCGCAGGCGGAAAUGCAAGUCAGGUGUAAAAGGCAGUAGCUUAACUACUGUAAGCAUUUGAAACUGCAUAUCUUGAGAAGAGUAGAGGUAAGUGGAAUUUUUAGUGUAGCGGUGAAAUGCGUAGAUAUUAAAAAGAAUACCGGUGGCGAAGGCGACUUACUGGGCUCAUUCUGACGCUGAGGAACGAAAGCGUGGGUAGAAAACAGG